This 110-nucleotide unclassified non-coding RNA is filed under the name Oryza sativa (Asian cultivated rice). RNAcentral describes it as "partial microRNA MIR472a-11-as precursor". Lineage: Eukaryota; Viridiplantae; Streptophyta; Magnoliopsida; Poales; Poaceae. The record is from RNAcentral.
UUCACAAUGUAAGUCAUUCUAGCAUUUCCCACAUUCAUAUUGAUGUUAAUGAAUGUCAUUAACAUCAAUAUGAAUGUGGGAAAUGCUAGAAUGACUUACAUUGUGAAACG